Molecule: ribosomal RNA, 253 nt
Filed under: uncultured bacterium
Lineage: Bacteria
Description: partial 16S ribosomal RNA
Rfam family: Bacterial small subunit ribosomal RNA
Source: RNAcentral
UACGGAGGGAGCUAGCGUUGUUCGGAAUUACUGGGCGUAAAGCGUACGUAGGCGGCUUGUUAAGUCAGAGGUGAAAGCCCACGACUCAAUCGUGGAACUGCCUUUGAGACUGCUUCGCUUGAAGAUGGGAGAGGUUAGUGGAAUUCCGAGUGUAGAGGUGAAAUUCGUAGAUAUUCGGAAGAACACCAGUGGCGAAGGCAGCUUACUAAAGUGUGAUUGACGCUGAGGCGCGAAAGCGUGGGGAUCAAACAGG